This is an RNA transcript of Nycticebus coucang (slow loris), 1572 nucleotides long. It is a transcript of the gene named cathepsin F-like, with no coding region annotated. NCBI's taxonomy places the organism in Eukaryota, Metazoa, Chordata, Mammalia, Primates, Lorisidae. The transcript has a single exon. The record is from RefSeq and is a predicted model, not a curated record.
UCGUUCUGGCCAUGGUAUCCUGGCUGCAGCUGCUGGUGCUAUUGGGGCUGCUCCCGGGCGCAGCUCCUGCCCCCGCCAAGCCCCGAGGUACCGGCAAUGAGGCCUGGGGGCCGCCGUCCCCUGUGCUGCUGGAGCCCGCUUCACCCUCGAGAUGCACAACCGGGGCCGGGCUCCGGGGACACAGGCGGUGCUGCGAGCCGUGCGCGGCCGCAUCCACCAGGCGGAUCAGGGGUCACUGUACUCCUUGGAGGCCUCCUUGGAGGAGCCACCCUGCAACGACCCCACGGUGUACCAGCUCCCAGUGUCCAAGAAAACUGCUCUGCAGCUUUGAAAUCCUGGACGAGCUAGGAAAACACAUGCUGCUGAGGAAGGACUGUGGCGCAGUGGAUACCAAGGUUACAGAUGAGAAAAACAACACUUUGAGUUCAGUCAUUUCACUGUUGAAAAACAGUCCUCUGUCCAAGGACUUUUCCAUGAAGAUGCUUUCAGUCUUCAAGGACUUUCUCACCACCUAUAACCGGACAUACGAGAGUAAAGAAGAAACUCAGUGGUGCCUGUCCAUCUUCAUCAAUAACAUGGUAUGAGCACAGAAGAUCCAGGCCCUGGAUCAAGGCACAGCUCAUUAUGGGGUUACCAAGUUCAGUGAUCUCACAGAAGAGGAGUUCCAUACCAUCUACCUGAAUCCUCUCCUCCGAGAAGAUCUUGGCAAGAAGAUGCAAGUAGUCAAGCCUGUGGGUGACCCUGCCCCACCUGAAUGGGACUGGAGGAAUAAGGGGGCUGUCACUAACGUUAAGAAACAGGGUAUGUGUAGCUCCUGCUGGGCUUUCUCAGUCACAGGCAAUGUGGAGGGCCAGUGGUUCCUGAACCAGGGGACCCUGCUGUCCCUCUCUGAGCAGGAGCUCUUGGACUGUGACAAGAUGGACAAAGCCUGCCUGGGUGACUUACCCUCCAACGCCUACUCAGCCAUAAAGAAUUUGGGAGGGCUGGAGACAGAAGAGGACUACAGCUACCAGGGCCAAAUGCAGGCCUGCAACUUCUCAGCAGAGAAGGCCAAAGUCUACAUCAAUGAUUCGGUGGAGCUGAGCCAUAAUGAGCAAAAACUGGCGGCCUGGCUGGCCAAGAAAGACCCGAUCUCCAUUGCCAUCAAUGCCUUUGGCAUGCAGUUCUACCACCAUGGGAAAUCACGCCCACUCCGGCCUCUCUGCACCCCUUGGCUCAUCGACCACGCUGUACUGAUAGUGGGCUAUGGAAACUGCUCUGACAUUCCCUUCUGGGCCAUCAAGAACAGUUGGGGCACCGACUGGGGCGAACAGGGCUACUACUACUUGCACCGUGGGUCCAGGGCUUGUGGAGUGAACACUAUGGCUAGCUCAGCGGUGGUGGAAUGAGGAGCCUGCUGGCUCAGGACCUGGUGCCAACAGGAGCAGCCCCUCCCCCAGCCUGACCUGCAUGUCCAGGCCCCUCCCCAAGAGGGCCAGCUGGCUGAGGGUACAGCACUGAGUAACUUGGGGUGAGCAAAGGACACCCAGCUAGCACAGCCCUACUCCCUGCCACCCACUCCCAUCCCGCAGC